GCAGGCGCAGGCGCAGACGUGGCUCCACAUAAAUUUUUCCUUGGGCUGGUUUCCUGCAUGUCUUUUAAGUAUUUGCUUUUAGUUUCCGUGUUUUGGUGUUUUGUUUGUUCGUUUUUUUUUUUUUUUUGUUUUUACGACAAUGCCUUCUAGGGGAACAGUGUCGCUGGGCUGGGCGGUGGAGAGACACCUUUGGCACCAUCGUGCGAUCUCAUGCACCCUACCAGUGAUCAACCCUUUGAGUCUGGCUUAGCUCAGGCAGAAAUUGUAGUCUGCAAAAGAAACUGAGAAGAAGAGGGCAAGGAGAGUGUGGCAUCCCAAGACAUAAAGACUCAAAUCAAUGAGAGCAAGCAACUCUGUCAAAUUUCACCAGAAGUGAGGACUAAAUAUUGACUACCGAAUUUUGCAAGGUAGCAUCAUGGCGUCAGGGAGAGAAGCCCACUGUCAGCCAUUCACUAAUUCCUCUGCAGUUUGGGAAAUGAUGCAAAGCCUUGGGUGAUGUGGUUGGCUGCCCUCAGCCCUCUUGGCCCUCAACAUCCCAUGCAGCCCUCUUUACCUUAUUCCUCUGUGCAAGGUUGC
RNAcentral lists this long non-coding RNA (576 nucleotides) under Homo sapiens (human). RNAcentral's name for it is "HSALNT0330853". Lineage: Eukaryota; Metazoa; Chordata; Mammalia; Primates; Hominidae. The record is from RNAcentral.